This 406-nucleotide ribosomal RNA is filed under the name uncultured bacterium. RNAcentral's name for it is "partial 16S ribosomal RNA". It matches the Rfam family "Bacterial small subunit ribosomal RNA", at positions 30 to 526 of the family's 1533-position model. The record is from RNAcentral.
AUUGAACGCUGGCGGCAGGCCUAACACAUGCAAGUCGGGCGAGUGGCGGACGGGUGAGUAAUGUAUGGGGAUCUGCCCGAUAGAGGGGGAUAACUACUGGAAACGGUGGCUAAUACCGCAUACUAUAGGAUGAACCCAUAUGGGAUUAGCUAGUAGGUGGGGUAAAGGCUCACCUAGGCGACGAUCUCUAGCUGGUCUGCGAGGAUGAUCAGCCACACUGGGACUGGGACACGGCCCAGACUCCUACGGGAGGCAGCAGUGGGGAAUAUUGCCCAAUGGGCGCAAGCCUGAUGCAGCCAUGCCGCGUGUAUUAAGAAGGCCUUAGGGUUGUAAAGGACUUUCAGCGUGGAGGCGUUACCCGCAGAAGAAGCACCGGCUAACUCCGUGCCAGCAGCCGCGGUAAUAC